CUCUGAACGGUCGCUGUCUGUUUUCCGCUCUUCAGGUGUCUCUUUCGGAUUCCUCGCCGGGGCAGGAGGGGUUGCUGUCAUGUCGAUAUAAUGACAGAUGGUCCACACAAAGCCGGUGCGCAUUGUUCAGCUGAAAAAUAAUAGCCACCAUUUAUCAGUGUUCGCCGACUUUCAGGGCCCAGCAGGAACAGGAGACUGUCUCGCAGGAUUUCAGUGUCCCGUCGAGGCGGACUGAUGCGGUUUCUUCCUGCUUUUGCUCUGCUCUUGAUUACGUCUGUUUGAGGGGCGGCAGGGAGGGGAUCCGGUGCACAGGGAUCACUGGGAGGACGGGGAUUGGCUCCAAGGAGAUAGCUUGAUAAAAACGCACGGCUGCCAUUGGACGAGAGCGCUUCUGGGAGGAGGAGGUGGAUGAGGAAGAGGAGGAGGAGGAGGAGAGGGGUCUGUCGUGUAUUAUUCAGGAGAAACCGGGUGGGGAGUAGAAGAGGAGGAGGAUACUCAGGGCAAAGCGGCAUAUGCAGACAAUGCCCUGUGUCUCCAAAAAUUCAGAUUUCAUUGGUGGACUUAUCCUCCCUGCAGUUUGUAUGGCUUCCGAUAAUCUCUUCAUAUGGACUCACAGUCAAAUUGGAGCACUUAUCCAAGUCUGUGGUUAUUAGUUUCUAAUGACCUCACUGCACUUAAAACAGGCUCUGGGAUCUGUGUAAUAACUCCAUAAAUGCAGUUUCCUAUAGGAAAAAUUAUGUAGCAUGGAGAAAAAUCCCAAAACUGACACAGCUGCAGCGUGCCUUUCUUUAUAGUCCUAUUUUAAGAUUAAUUUGAUGAAAAGACUGUGCCGGGCUAUUCAGAUGGAAGGGAGCGACUAUAAAUAAAUCAAACAACUGUUAUUUUGCAACAUCAAACCUCAA
Molecule: long non-coding RNA, 902 nt
Organism: Acanthochromis polyacanthus (spiny chromis)
Lineage: Eukaryota; Metazoa; Chordata; Actinopteri; Pomacentridae
Exons: 3
Source: RefSeq, a predicted model, not a curated record